AUGGAAAAUAAACGGCUCGAACUCUUCCAGGUUGCGUCUUCGUGGAGACCAACGGCCAAACGGAAAAGUCAGCCCUCUUGGGGUUGUCCAGUGUCACGCAUUUGGCUCCUGAAGGUGUGGGGCAGUUCCCGUGGGCCACCUUGGGAAGGGCCCCAGGUGGGUGGGCAGGUCAUUAGCAAGGCUGGCCCAGAUCUGGGGGGAAAUCUGCAAAACAGUGCCUUUAUCUGCAGAGAACAAUUGAUGGGGUUGUCUUUCCUCCUUUUCAGUGCACAAAGAAGACGGCUUUGGAGCAAGAAUUUGGAAUAUGCAUUUAAGUUGUCGUGCUUUGCAUUGGAAACCCAUGGGCAAUUAAAAUAAGCAUGCCCUGUAGUAUUUUCUGUCCUUUUCUUAUGUGUGAUUCCUGCAAGUCAGAGGGGGCCGGAGCCUCUUCAGUAGUUUGGAAACUUGUUUUGAAAUUGCCACCAAGCCGAUUUUUUUUUUUUUUUUUUUUUUUUUCCUGUGGGUGAAGUUUCCUUCCCCGGUUCACUCACUCCCCCUUUCCCCACCCCCUCACUGGAAUUGUAUUGACAUCUUUGAGAGAUCAAAGGAAGUAAAUGGUGCUUGCUGUAUGCUCUGUUUUUCCAUACUGUAGUGUGAAUCCUGAGAUUUGAGCUUUUUUCUGGUUAAAUCUCUUGGUACCAAAAGUGUGGAAAAUAAAAAGUUCAUUAACUUAAGGAAGCUUUAGCCAAUGGUUAGACGGGGUUUGUCCCUUUAAGAGCUACAGAGCCCAGAUUGUCUCUUAAAUUGACUUUAAAGUUGAGCUAAGAUGCAUUGGUGGACUGUUUCCCCUGGAUACCUGCGGUGUUCUUUGGGUCAUUUGAUAUGGUAAAACCGGUUGAUUUUCAUAGGAGUUAUGUGAAUGGAAUUUCUGCAAAACCGGGCUAGUGAUAAAUUGAUAGAGCUCUUAUAUUUGUUUGGAUGACGACUCCAAAGGGCACUGCUUUUUUACCGAGGUUUGGUUCUAUCAUAACCAUUGAAAUUUACAGCUUGGAAAACACUAACUUUGCUGGAAGCAUUUGAAGCGGGGAGUGUUCAGAGUACUUGGACUAAUGGUAACUUAACAGAGGAACAUAAAUCCUUUGAAUAUUAGAGAAACUCGUUUCAAAAAAUCUGUUGAAACUGAAGCAAAUCUCUUUCAUUAACAUUUAACAAACCAAGCAGUUUUGUAUAUUUUUAAUCUGAUGACAGUUCAACCUAUUUACAAAUCUGAUGAAUGGAGAGAAAUGUAAGCUUUAUAGUAACUAUAACAAUAGCUUUCACCAGAUGGUAUAAUGUUUGAUCUCUAAUAGGGUGUGUGUCUUGUGUCAUAUGUUUUAUUAAAAUACAACCUGCGUCAACACCAUUUGAAUUUGAGGUGUUAAAAAUAAAACAUUCCAUCGUGUUUUAUUAUAAACCAGAGUUUAAAACAACAUAUCCAUGUAACAUUUUAUGACAUUUUUUCUAAGAGGAAAUGUGGCCUGUUUUGACCUAUCUGCAGUUCACUUUUUGUUUUUUUGCCAGUGUUGUCCUGCUUGGUAUCCGGGACAGUCUCUAAUUCCUGACGAAGAACUUGAUACUGACGUUGGUAUGCAGCAGCCAGCCCUCCAUAACACUACCUAUCCUAAAUGCAGGGUUAAUGCCGAACCUACUGUGCAAGAAAUGAUUUACUGAUGAGGUUUCAAAGAAAACCACAUUAAUUUGGAUGUCUGUUACCUUGAAGUGAUCAUUUUAAGAGUAGUAGCUUCUUCCCUAGGUAUAAAAAGACUAUUUUCUUCUUUUGGUGUAUUUCAUCCUGUGUUGAGCAAUCAUUUGUGAAAUGAAAAAGCAAAAAAACUCCCCCCAAUUUAGGAUUUAUAAAUGGGAAGAUGGAGGUGAAGUCUGGCCUAAUUCAUAACCCAGUAUGCAUUAUCUCAUACAUUGUGUUGACCUUGUUGAAAAUCUUUUUCAAAUAUCAGCAUUCUAUAUGUAGAACUAAAGUGUUUAAAACUAGAAACAUUAAUUGUUGUUUUGUUAAUUUCAUGUUUGUGUUCAGAAAGCAAUACCCAGGAUCCCUUCAAUUUUUGUUGGACUUAAAUAAAACCAUUUAAAUUAUUUUUGUGAUUAUUGUUUUAUUAAAAUGACAGUAGCCCCUAAAUAACUUUGAUUAACCUGUUGACUUGGGACAAUUUAUGUUCAAUUCACAUUUUUCACGAUAUAGCUGGGCUUUCACUAGGCAAUAAAUGGGGGUGGGGGGGGAACCCGCCGAACAAACCACAAACAACUGUUUUGAACUCACAGUGUUUUCCCAGAGGGGUUCAAGGCCAGGUACUGGGAAGACCAGGGGAAGAAUUCAGAGUCAAGGAUUGAUAGGGGUGAUUAGGAGGAAUGAAAGGAUGCAGGAGCUUGGAGGGAAAAAAAAGAGCAUUUGAACACCAAUAUUUGGGUGAGAAAGAGAGGGAAAGAUAAAGCUGAAGAUAACCUGAAAGGU
RNAcentral lists this long non-coding RNA (2485 nucleotides) under Macaca mulatta (Rhesus monkey). RNAcentral describes it as "lncRNA (ENSMMUG00000054007.1)". Lineage: Eukaryota; Metazoa; Chordata; Mammalia; Primates; Cercopithecidae. The record is from RNAcentral.